RNAcentral lists this ribosomal RNA (1370 nucleotides) under uncultured bacterium. Its description in RNAcentral is "bacterial SSU rRNA". It matches the Rfam family "Bacterial small subunit ribosomal RNA", at positions 28 to 1381 of the family's 1533-position model. The record is from RNAcentral.
GAUGAACGCUGGCGGCGUGCCUAAUACAUGCAAGUCGAGCGAACGGACGAGAAGCUUGCUUCUCUGAUGUUAGCGGCGGACGGGUGAGUAACACGUGGAUAACCUACCUAUAAGACUGGGAUAACUUCGGGAAACCGGAGCUAAUACCGGAUAAUAUUUUGAACCGCAUGGUUCAAAAGUGAAAGACGGUCUUGCUGUCACUUAUAGAUGGAUCCGCGCUGCAUUAGCUAGUUGGUAAGGUAACGGCUUACCAAGGCAACGAUGCAUAGCCGACCUGAGAGGGUGAUCGGCCACACUGGAACUGAGACACGGUCCAGACUCCUACGGGAGGCAGCAGUAGGGAAUCUUCCGCAAUGGGCGAAAGCCUGACGGAGCAACGCCGCGUGAGUGAUGAAGGUCUUCGGAUCGUAAAACUCUGUUAUUAGGGAAGAACAUAUGUGUAAGUAACUGUGCACAUCUUGACGGUACCUAAUCAGAAAAGCACGGCUAACUACGUGCCAGCAGCCGCGGUUAUACGUAGGUGGCAAGCGUUAUCGGGAUUAUUGGGUGUAAAGCGCGCGUAGGCGGUUUUUUAGUCUGAUGUGAAAGCCCACGGCUCAACCGUGGAGGGUCAUUGGAAACUGGAAAACUUGAGUGCAGAAGAGGAAAGUGGAAUUCCAUGUGUAGCGGUGAAAUGCGCAGAGAUAUGGAGGAACACCAGUGGCGAAGGCGACUUUCUGGUCUGUAACUGACGCUGAUGUGCGAAAGCGUGGGGAUCAAACAGGAUUAGAUACCCUGGUAGUCCACGCCGUAAACGAUGAGUGCUAAGUGUUAGGGGGUUUCCGCCCCUUAGUGCUGCAGCUAACGCAUUAAGCACUCCGCCUGGGGAGUACGACCGCAAGGUUGAAACUCAAAGGAAUUGACGGGGACCCGCACAAGCGGUGGAGCAUGUGGUUUAAUUCGAAGCAACGCGAAGAACCUUACCAAAUCUUGACAUCCUUUGACAACUCUAGAGAUAGAGCUUUCCCCUUCGGGGGACAAAGUGACAGGUGGUGCAUGGUUGUCGUCAGCUCGUGUCGUGGGAUGUUGGGUUAAGUCCCGCAACGAGCGCAACCCUUAAGCUUAGUUGCCAUCAUUAAGUUGGGCACUCUAAGUUGACUGCCGGUGACAAACCGGAGGAAGGUGGGGAUGACGUCAAAUCAUCAUGCCCCUUAUGAUUUGGGCUACACACGUGCUACAAUGGACAAUACAAAGGGCAGCGAAACCGUGAGGUCAAGCAAAUCCCAUAAAGUUGUUCUCAGUUCGGAUUGUAGUCUGCAACUCGACUACAUGAAGCUGGAAUCGCUAGUAAUCGUAGAUCAGCAUGCUACGGUGAAUACGUUCCCGGGUCU